This 447-nucleotide ribosomal RNA is filed under the name uncultured bacterium. RNAcentral's name for it is "SSU rRNA". It matches the Rfam family "Bacterial small subunit ribosomal RNA", at positions 10 to 459 of the family's 1533-position model. The record is from RNAcentral.
AGUUUGAUCCUGGCUCAGAUUGAACGCUGGCGGCAUGCCUUACACAUGCAAGUCGAACGGUAACAGGUCUUCGGAUGCUGACGAGUGGCGAACGGGUGAGUAAUACAUCGGAACGUGCCCGAUCGUGGGGGAUAACGAGGCGAAAGCUUUGCUAAUACCGCAUACGAUCUACGGAUGAAAGCGGGGGAUCUUCGGACCUCGCGCGGACGGAGCGUCCGAUGGCAGAUUAGGUAGUUGGUGGGAUAAAAGCUUACCAAAAAAGACGAUCUGUAGCUGGUCUGAGAGGAUGAUCAGCCACACUGGGACUGAGACACGGCCCAGACUCCUACGGGAGGCAGCAGUGGGGAAUUUUGGACAAUGGGCGAAAGCCUGAUCCAGCCAUGCCGUGUGCAGGAUGAAGGCCUUCGGGUUGUAAAACUGCUUUUGUACGGAACGAAAAGCCUCUGA